Molecule: long non-coding RNA, 3427 nt
Organism: Pan troglodytes (chimpanzee)
Lineage: Eukaryota; Metazoa; Chordata; Mammalia; Primates; Hominidae
Source: Ensembl
CUGAGAAGAUAUGUGGAAAGGAGAAUGCACUUUCUUUCUUUCUUUUUUUUUUUUGAGACAGAGUCUCGCUCUGUUGCCCAGGGUGGAGUGCAGUUGCGCGAUCUCGGCUCACUGCAAACUCCGCCUCCCCGGUUCACGCCAUUCUCCUGCCUCAGCCUCCCGAGUAGUUGGGACUACAGGCGCCCGCCACCACUCCUGUAUUUUUAGUAGAGAUGGGGUUUCACCGUGUUAGCCAGGAUGUUCUCGAUCACCUGACCUCGUGAUCCGCCCGCCUCGGCCUCCCAAAGUGCUGAAGUGCAUUAAUCAUCGGCCAGAUGGAACACAGUGACCCAAAAGAAGGCUGGGCGUGUAUAAAGGUGUUGCAGGACUUUACCUUAGUUCGGCUAAAGACGGGGUCCUUGUCCGUCCCAUGGCCAUGAAAAUUUAGGCUCGUAGACGGUUUGAAUGGUGAGUAGGAGAGAGUAGUAUUGAUUGAAGAGGAAGAAAAGAGGCUCGAAUCAGGGACUCUCGCAAGGCGAGCCCCUGCUAGAGCGCUUCCCGCCUGCAGCUUGAAUCCCGGGUUCCACACAGGAAGAGGAGGGACCAGGCUCCUCCCUGCUCCAAAGGGCACGAACUUCUGUGUCUCCACCCCAGUGCGCAUUUCUCCUAGUGCGCAGGCUCGUUGGAGGUUUUCCGGGGACCCUUUCCAACCUGGCUGUCUCAAAGGGAAGCAGAUUAUGCAAGGCUUUGUGUUCCAGCUUAGGCUAAACCAAGAACAACUUUAUCCUAAGGUCAAGAGGAAAUAUUUGAUAGGUUCUAAAGAAGGGAGGAGGAAACUGAGACCCAGGCAGAAGAAUUUGUUCUUCAAACUGCGAAAGCAGAGCUACCCCAAUUCAUCCACACGCAUAGUAUUUCGGAGAAAAAAAGAAAACCCUAUGAUGGCAAGCAGUCAUAAGGAUGAAUGGUACGCUGCUGUAGGACUGAUGAGCUGCCCAAGAAAACUUUAUAUCCACCCCAUAAAGCUGUCAGCAGUGAAAACAGAGAGUUUAACAGCAGGAAAUGUGAACGUAUUGAUAUCAUCCACAGUAUCCCGAAUGCUGAUGAGAACUUGCCUCUUAAAUGUCUAGAGUGACGGGAUUGAUAUUGGGAAAUAAAAACAUACACUUUGUUUCAGCGAACAGGACAUAUUGCCCUUUGGAUCUAAAAUAGCAUCCAUUCACAUUGACCAGGAUGAUAAGUGAGAACUUCCAAGUCAGCCCCAGGAAAAGGGUGGACAGGAACUGUGAGUGUUGAUGUUUUCCAGCAGUGCUUAGUGUGCAUGUACCUUGAGAUCUUGCAUUUAUACUUACUGCUUUUGACUUUGCUUUUCCCUCCAAAGAAAAUUAUUCCUGUUUACCAACAUUUAUAGCAUUGUGCGAUAUACAGCAAUUGGGCCAGUCUCCUUCAGACUUUGGGCACUUACCAAGUGGCAUAUGUAUGGCAGAGAUUGUUAAUUCCCUUCCUCCAACAUUUGGUCUCUUCUUCUUCCUCAGAUAGAUAACCCUGAUUCUUAGCUGAGCAUAUUGCAGCUCAGAACUGAAGACUAUAUUCAACCUUCGUGUUUAGCUAGAAGAGGCAAAAGGAUCUCUUUACCAGGAAAAUGUGAAUGGAAAUGCGUAGAAUUUGUGGAAAGGCUACUUGAAAAAUGCUGCUUCAGCUGAACGUAAGCCCAUCUGUGCUCUUCAGCCAUUCUUCCUCCGUCUGGCCUCAACUAGCCAUGAAUACCACAAAGUGACCUUGAAAAAGAGUCCACAGGCUAAAGAUGGUGAAAUAGGGAGAAGCCCAAAUUCCUGAUAAUGCUAUGGAGCCUCUCCUAGCCCAGAGCUGCUGAUUCAGGACUUCCUCUCUGCAACAACAACAACAACAACAACAAACAAACAAACAAAAACAAAAAAACAAACAAAAAACCAUGCCUCUUUUGUUUAAGCCAUUGGUUGUUGUUUUCUUUGCUAAAGGAGGGCAAAUUCUAAAUGUUACAUAUAGGCAAGAUCAAUAAUGGUGCUGCACAGGGCCACAUUGGAGGCUCAGAGAAGAGGACACUUUAGUAAUACUGAUCCUGCCUUUACAGUUUUGAUAUUUUAUUCAUCAUGCAUUUUUUUGCAUUAAUUUUGAUUUUUUAAAUUAUUGCAUUGGGACUUGUGCUCCUGAAAAGAUAAAUUGCAAAUACUUUCACCUAUUCCUCCUACUAAGUACAACUAAAAACCUUGGACAUACAUUUUAUAUGUAAUGAAGGCAGAAGGCUUCCUCAGGACCAGAGGAAUGACACAGCAGUGACCUCGCUCGAUUUUCUUUUCGCCUUGUGUCACUUGCACAUGUAACUGAAGGAGCAGGCAACCCACAAAUGCCAAUUAGAGCACAGACAACGAGUCCCAGCAGCAAACAGAUGCUUUCACUAGUCAAAGGAUCAGGAAAGGGGCAGUCUAUUAAGACAGGAAACUUUUAGAAAAUAGCUACUCUGCUUUAUCCAAAUACUGCAGAAAAACUGGCUCCACUCCAGCCAAGCCAGCAAAGAUUAAAUUGGUAACUGAGUGGGGACACUUGUGAAGAUGAAAUAAGAUGCCCAAGACCCUUACAGGAAUUGUGUCAGACAAGGCCAAUAUGAAGUCAGUAUUAAAAAAAAUUAUUUUAUUUUAUUUUAUUAUUAUUAUUUUUUUGAGAUGGAGUCUAGCUCUGUUGCCCAGGCUGGAGUGCAGUGAGCGAUCUCGGCUCACUGCAAGCUCCGCCUCCCAGGUUCAUGCCAUUCUCCUGCCUCAGCCUCCUGAGUAGCUGAGACUACAGGCGCCCGCCACCACGCCCAUCUAUUUUUUUUUUUGUUUUUGUUUUGCAUUUUUUAGUAGAGACAGGGUUUCACCAUGUUAGCCAGGAUGGUCUUGAUCUCCUGACCUUGUGAUCCACCCGCCUCGGCCUCCCAAAGUGCUGGGAUUACAGGUGUGAGCCACUGCGCCCGGCCAGAUUUUAUUUUUUACAGUAGUUUUACAGCAACAAUUAUUGUAAGGUACACAGAGUUCCCAUAUGCCUCCUGCCCCUACACAUGCACAGCCUCCCCUGUUACCUACAUCCCUAACAGAGUGGUACAUUUGUUAUGAUUGAUGAACCUGCAUUGACACUUCAUUAAUACCUAAAGUCCAUAGUUUACAAUAGAGUUUUUUCUUAAGGUUGUACCUAUUAUGGGUUUUGACAAAUGCUAAUGACUUGGAUCCACCAUUCUAGUAUCAUAGAGUAGUUUCAUUGCCUUAAAAAUGUUCUGUGCUCUCCCUAUUCUUCUCUUCCUCCCCCGAAUCCCUGGUAACCACUAGUCCUCUUACUGUAUUCAUAGUUUUGCCUUUUUUCACAAUGUCAUAGUGGGAAACAUGUAGUAUAUAGUGUUUCCAGAUUGGCUUCUACUUAGUAAUGUGAAUUUCAGUUUCCU